UACUCGAGUGGCGAACGGGUGAGUAACACGUGGGUGAUCUGCCCUGCACUUCGGGAUAAGCUUGGGAAACUGGGUCUAAUACCGGAUAGGACCGCACUUUAGUGUGUGUGGUGGAAAGUUUUUUCGGUGUAGGAUGAGCUCGCGGCCUAUCAGCUUGUUGGUGGGGUAAUGGCCUACCAAGGCGGCGACGGGUAGCCGGCCUGAGAGGGUGUACGGCCACAUUGGGACUGAGAUACAGCCCAG
RNAcentral lists this ribosomal RNA (243 nucleotides) under uncultured Actinomycetales bacterium. RNAcentral's name for it is "partial 16S ribosomal RNA". It matches the Rfam family "Bacterial small subunit ribosomal RNA", at positions 88 to 334 of the family's 1533-position model. Lineage: Bacteria; Bacillati; Actinomycetota; Actinomycetes; Actinomycetales. The record is from RNAcentral.